UUUAUUGCAUAUUAAAAUUUAUUUUGUUUGUUCUGUCUCAAAAUCCGAAUAAAAGCUCGACAUAAUUGUGAUCAAAUCAGUUUGGGUUACGGUCUUUAACGUAUACAACGGUCCUAUGACCAAAAUGAUUUCCACUUUCGCGCUCUUCGUUUUAAGCAUAUUGCAUGCGCAUGCUGCUCAUCAAGGUGCACCAAUUCCUCAGAAUUAUUAUAAUCCACCACCGGACGUACCUCCAACUUCU
This is a long non-coding RNA of Pieris napi, 241 nucleotides long. RefSeq lists it as uncharacterized. The record is from RefSeq and is a predicted model, not a curated record. Lineage: Eukaryota; Metazoa; Arthropoda; Insecta; Lepidoptera; Pieridae. The transcript is spliced from 3 exons.